AGCAGCCGCGGUAAUUCCAGCUCCAAUAGCGUAUAUUAAAGUUGUUGCAGUUAAAAAGCUCGUAGUUGAAUUUCGGAAUCAAUGGAUCGGUCAUGCCACUCGGUGUGUACUGGUUUGAUUGGUUCUCACCUUCUAAGGAACCGUGAUGUCAUUAAUUUGGUGUCGCGGGGAAUUAGGACUGUUACCUUAGAAAAAAUUAGAGUGUUUAAAGCAAGCUCACGCUUGAAUACAUUAGCAUGGAAUAAUGAAAUAGGACAUUGUAUUCUAUUUUGUUGGUUUCUAGGAUCGAUGUAAUGAUUAAUAGGGAUAGUUGGGGGCAUUAGUAUUCAAUUGUCAGAGGUGAAAUUCUUGGAUUUAUUGAAGACUAACUACUGCGAAAGCAUUUGCCAAGGAUGUUUUCAUUAAUCAAGAACGAAAGUUAGGGGAUCGAAGACGAUCAGAUACCGUCGUAGUCUUAACCAUAAACUAUGCCGACUAGGGAUCGGAUGAUGUUAAUUUUUAAUGA
RNAcentral lists this ribosomal RNA (505 nucleotides) under uncultured Glomus. Its description in RNAcentral is "SSU rRNA". It matches the Rfam family "Eukaryotic small subunit ribosomal RNA", at positions 569 to 1074 of the family's 1831-position model. Lineage: Eukaryota; Fungi; Glomeromycota; Glomeromycetes; Glomerales; Glomeraceae. The record is from RNAcentral.